ACAGUUGGGAAAUUUUUAGUUUAUUGCAUACCAUUGAUGUAUUUAUCUUCUUAACUGUAUAUGUGUACUUGUGUAGGCCACUAAUUGAAAUCGCAGGAUUCUCCCGUUGAGGAUAUUUUUGGGUCAUUGUCCAUCCUUUGUUGGGCACAAUAGACCAAUGGUCUGGAUUACUAAACCAUAGGCCCCAGUUUUAUUUUUAGAUGGUGAUCGUAAUUUACGAGCUUGGUUUUAUCAAGGUGAUUGCGAAAUUAGAUUCUUGCUAUUCUUUUCAAGUAGGAUUUAUCAUGCUGCCAUUCCUACUAAUUUCGUGUUGCAAAAGUAUAGGUCAUUUUGGAUUCAAUCUUCUGUCAUUCAGAUUGAGUUAUAUAAUAAAGUAUUCUUCAUGUAUAAAAUGGUUCACCAAAAUAUACCAACACCAUCUAAAUUACCUGGUGCUUUCACAGGAUUAGGGACUUCAGUGAAUGGGCUCAGUGUCUUUUACUUGACUUGGUCUCUAGAUAUAUCCCCUCAGAUAUAUAGCAAUGAGAUAUUUGACAUAAUGAAUCUCCUUGAGGAUAGGCUUCAGCAUGCAAAUGGUGUUGUUGUUUUAGCAACAACUAAGGUGUUUCUCCAUUUGACAAUGUCCAUGACUAAUGUCCAUCAACAGGCCAUGGCAACUUGAUCAGUGAGCAUUUCUGUUUUGGGAGGAUGUAAUUUUGAGAUGACAAAGAAAAAGUACAGAUUUGGCAAUUUAGGCAACUGUGUGAAAUAGUUUGAGGACAUGUCUGCAUAUAAAGACAAAGUCAUUGCAACGUGGGCGCACGUGGCCGGGGAAAAUGUUGUGUUUCUGUAUGCUCAGAGAUCCGUGUAAAUGAUAUAGACAAGGUAAGAUGAUGACAUGAUUUUUUGUAUACUAUACUCAUACUUGUAGAGAGAAAUGUAUCGUUCCUCCAGGCCUUACAUGAAUUGGGUUGUCCUGAUAGGUUAUGGCAAAUGCUGACAAGGGAUCGAACUUUGUAGGACAGAGCACAUGGGAUGUGCUAGGUAUACUGUGCACCAACAUCUGAAACCAGCCCUCUAGGAAGCGGAGUCUUCAACCGUUUGAGCAGUGUGGCCUAUGGUUUUAAUGAUCCUGUCAUCAGUUUGUUUGGGCCACAAUAUGUAUGGGUUGUCACCUGAGCUGGAGGGUUACGAAUUUACUUUCUUCAUUUUAUCUAUGGCAAGUGUUACAUGUAUAUCUGUUCAUCACAUUCGACACAUGUAAAAAGGGGUUGGCGAAGUAUGGUUCCAUUAGUUGGUGAAGGUUAUAGAUAUGUUUACUUGUGAACUAUAUCAUUGAUGAAAAGUUUAAAAGUAAUGAAAUGAUUAAGAUGAAACCGUUCUUGUUAUGAAAUAUAUGGUUU
This is a long non-coding RNA of Magnolia sinica, 1382 nucleotides long. RefSeq lists it as uncharacterized. NCBI's taxonomy places the organism in Eukaryota, Viridiplantae, Streptophyta, Magnoliopsida, Magnoliales, Magnoliaceae. The transcript is spliced from 4 exons. The record is from RefSeq and is a predicted model, not a curated record.